This is a non-coding RNA of Parathielavia hyrcaniae, 84 nucleotides long. The record is from the annotation of a GenBank genome assembly. Lineage: Eukaryota; Fungi; Ascomycota; Sordariomycetes; Sordariales; Chaetomiaceae.
GCUCCUGUGGCCUAAUUGGCAAGGCGUGAGACUUCUAUUUUCUAAAGUAUCUUAAGAUUGUGGGUUCGAUCCCCACCAGGAGUG